RNAcentral lists this long non-coding RNA (228 nucleotides) under Gossypium barbadense (sea-island cotton). RNAcentral's name for it is "long non-coding RNA (GBAR_LNC012826)". Lineage: Eukaryota; Viridiplantae; Streptophyta; Magnoliopsida; Malvales; Malvaceae. The record is from RNAcentral.
UUUUAAUUUUUCUACUAUUUUAUUAUUAUCUUACGCAUAAUUUUAGGUCAAUUUUUCAAGCUAAAUCCAACCUAAGCUUCAAAUUUUGAUUUGGACCAACCCAACCCAUCAUGAUGAGGUGACUUGCUAUAUGAAACUCUAGAGAAAACUUGCCGCAAAAAGGAAAGCAUCCUCAAAACUAAACCAAACUCCACGAGUUUGGAGAGUUUUAAUCGAAAUUAAUCAAUC